AAAAAACCUCCGUUACUGUUAAUUAGUUUUGUGGUUUAUAUACAUGAAUGUUGGUUUCUGUGAGAUAACUUGUUGGAUCCUAUUUCCAGAUUUUGUGGGAUGAUUAAUCUAUGGAUUUAAGGUUGUUUAUUUGGAUAAUGCAGUGUGUUUCUGAGCGCUUCCUUUGAUUCAUUGUGUAACAUAUUAAUAUGCUCUUUCUAUUAAUUAUUUUCCAGCUUUUUAAGUGCUUAUUUGAUAAGUUGUUUUUUAAUUUUGAAUUGGUUUUGCAAGUGAAGUGAUGUUGAUGCUGAUUGAUUGAAAAAGGGGGGCUGUUAUUCAACAGGUUUUGGAAAAGUUCUGAAGAGUUGGUUUUGAAUUGGGAACUUCCAAAAGAGCUUUUGGAAGAGUCUGUGAAAUAUGAUGUUGAUGCUGAUUGAUUGAAAAAGGGGGGCUGUUAUUCAACAGGUUUUGGAAAAGUUCUGAAGAGUUGGUUUUGAAUUGGGAACUUCCAAAAGAGCUUUUGGAAGAGUCUGUGAAAUUUGCUUUUUUUUGUUAUUUAUGUGGAUACUUUUGGGUUAUAAUGUAAUAUUUGGAUUAAAUUUUAAUUAUGUAAUUAUCUUUUAAGCUUUUCAAAAUUUAACUC
Molecule: long non-coding RNA, 622 nt
Filed under: Lathyrus oleraceus (garden pea)
Lineage: Eukaryota; Viridiplantae; Streptophyta; Magnoliopsida; Fabales; Fabaceae
Description: Pisum sativum (pea) long non-coding RNA (PSAT_LNC041898)
Source: RNAcentral